GGUCAAAUCCAGCAGCUACGGGAUUGUCACACCCUCACCCUUUAAUCCCAUCGAUGCUGAGCCAGGCUUCCAUCCCCUGGCUGAGCUAGCCAGCUGUCUGACUGCUUGAAAAUGGUGGAAGAGGAAGAGGGCGGCGUGGAGGAGGGGGACGUGUUCCUAGCCUUUGCCCAGGGACCCAUUCCUCCUCGGGGGCCCGUGCGGCGCGCUUUGGACAAGAUCUUCCUCGCCUUCUUGGUCCUGUUCCUGACACUGCUGACGCUGGAGGCCGCUUACAAACUGCUGUGGCCCCUGCCAUGGGCCAAGUUUCGGGACUGGCUCCUGAGGACCCCUGAGGGGGAGUCAACUCUGGAACUCUGAGCAUCUUCACCCACCGACAACCUGUCCUUGCUACUGAGCCCAGCUCACUCAAAGAUUUAUUACUGUAUGUAUGUACACUGUCGCUGUCUUCAGACACCCCAGAAGAGGGCAUCAGAUCUCAUCAUGGAUGGUUGUGAGCCACUAAGUGGUUGCUGGGAUUUGAACUCAGGACCUCCGGAACAGCAGUCAGUGCUCUUAACUGCUGAGCCAUCUCUCCAGCCUGUAAGAGUGUAUUUUAUUUCCUUUUGUUUUCCUGCAAGUAUCAUGGUUUAAGUUUUCUUCCUGGCUGUACAACUCCACUGUAUGUCUGUACCACACUUUGUCUGUUUUACGGGCUAGUUGGCUGCUUCCAUUCUUUUGGCUAUUGUGAUAGCUACAGCAAUAAACACGGAUGUGCA
This 755-nucleotide long non-coding RNA is filed under the name Mus pahari (shrew mouse). Its description in RNAcentral is "lncRNA (MGP_PahariEiJ_G0004840.1)". Lineage: Eukaryota; Metazoa; Chordata; Mammalia; Rodentia; Muridae. The record is from RNAcentral.